Molecule: ribosomal RNA, 165 nt
Filed under: Gagea peduncularis
Lineage: Eukaryota; Viridiplantae; Streptophyta; Magnoliopsida; Liliales; Liliaceae
Description: 5.8S ribosomal RNA
Rfam family: 5.8S ribosomal RNA
About the family: 5.8S ribosomal RNA (5.8S rRNA) is a component of the large subunit of the eukaryotic ribosome. It is transcribed by RNA polymerase I as part of the 45S precursor that also contains 18S and 28S rRNA.
Source: RNAcentral
CAUUAAGACUCUCGGCAACGGAUAUCUCGGCUCUUGCAUCGAUGAAGAACGCAGCGAAAUGCGAUACUUGGUGUGAAUUGCAGAAUCCCGUGAACCAUCGAGUCUUUGAACGCAAGUUGCGCCCGAGGCCUUCGGGUCGAGGGCACGCCUGCCUGGGCGUCACGC